GCCCGGAUGGCGAAACUGGUAGACGCAUCGGACUUAAAAUCCGCCGGCCGCGAGGCCAUGCCGGUUCGAUUCCGGCUCCGGGCACCA
This 87-nucleotide transfer RNA is filed under the name Xanthomonas sp. Its description in RNAcentral is "tRNA-Leu". It matches the Rfam family "tRNA". Rfam says of the family: Transfer RNA (tRNA) molecules are approximately 80 nucleotides in length. Lineage: Bacteria; Pseudomonadati; Pseudomonadota; Gammaproteobacteria; Lysobacterales; Lysobacteraceae. RNAcentral also lists the same sequence under 25 other names. The record is from RNAcentral.